This is a long non-coding RNA of Gorilla gorilla gorilla (western lowland gorilla), 642 nucleotides long. RefSeq lists it as uncharacterized. NCBI's taxonomy places the organism in Eukaryota, Metazoa, Chordata, Mammalia, Primates, Hominidae. The record is from RefSeq and is a predicted model, not a curated record. The transcript has 4 exons.
GCUGUGCAAACGUAACGCAGGCGGGAGAGUUCAGCGAGAGCUAAAAUUGGCUGGGCGGGAGUUUUCUGUUCCGGGUUUUGCAAGUUUCGAAGGAACAGCGGUUUGCAAUCAGGUUUCCGUCCUGGAGUAAUAUCUAAGGAGCGACUGCUGUUCUCUACACGAGAACCUAGUGGAUUCUCUUUCCCCACCUUCCACGUCCUAAGCCCCAGACUCUAGCACCUGCUUCUCCUGGUCGAAAAAAAAAACAGGCAAAGGCGAAGGUCCAGUCCUGUGUGCUAAAAGCCCCGGCCAGCUGUUCCGAGGACUCCAGAAAAGCGUAUUGGGUUUAGAAGCGCUGUAGCCUGUCUCCAAGAAGGUGUGAUACAAUUCAGAAAAUAAUUUGUAAUUAAGAAAAAUCAGACAAGAUGGAGAACAAGAACAAAUGUGGAGAUGACUUCCAGAGGCAAGAAAAAACCCUUCACAGAAGAAUGACAGGAUCUCUCUGUCACCCAGGCUGGAGUGCAGUGGCACAAUCUCGGCCCACUGCAACCUCUGCCUCCUGUGUUCAAGCAAUCCUCCUGCCUCAGCCCUGCAAGUAACUGGGACCACAGUUUUCCUUCAGGUGAGAGUUCAUGCUUGUGGGUUUGACUCAAAGACAUCUUC